AUUGAACGCUGGCGGCAUGCCUUACACAUGCAAGUCGAACGGCAGCACGGGAGCAAUCCUGGUGGCGAGUGGCGAACGGGUGAGUAAUGUUUCGGAACGUGCCUAGUCGUGGGGGAUAACGUAGCGAAAGCUACGCUAAUACCGCAUACGAUCUAUGGAUGAAAGCGGGGGAUCGCAAGACCUCGCGCGAUUGGAGCGGCCGAUAUCAGAUUAGGUAGUUGGUGGGGUAAAGGCUCACCAAGCCGACGAUCUGUAGCUGGUCUGAGAGGACGACCAGCCACACUGGGACUGAGACACGGCCCAGACUCCUACGGGAGGCAGCAGUGGGGAAUUUUGGACAAUGGGCGCAAGCCUGAUCCAGCAAUGCCGCGUGCAGGAUGAAGGCCUUCGGGUUGUAAACUGCUUUUGUACGGAACGAAACGGCGAGCUCUAAUACAGUUUGCUGAUGACGGUACCGUAAGAAUAAGCACCGGCUAACUACGUGCCAGCCGCCGCAGUAA
Molecule: ribosomal RNA, 500 nt
Filed under: uncultured bacterium
Lineage: Bacteria
Description: partial 16S ribosomal RNA
Rfam family: Bacterial small subunit ribosomal RNA
Source: RNAcentral